UCCACUGCUAUUAUUAAUGUAGUUAUUGUUAUUGUUGCAGUGUUGCUGUAUAUUUUACACUAUUGUAAUUGUUUGUUUUUGUUGACAUAGUUCGCUUUAAUGGAACAGUCCGAGUGAGAAUAACAAUUAAUCAAACUGAUACUAUCAAAAAACAGGUACAUUUUAAUUUUAAUUUUAGGGAAUUCAAAUUCGCUGAAAUUGUGAUGAAAAUGAUUAACAUGUAUAGUAAGUUAAUGUGACACCUGAACACACACUAUAUGUAAUAUUGAUGCUAAAAUGUCCUUUUCAUCUCAGCUUACAGAUGGUUUUAAACAAUUACAUGGGUUUGAGUGCCUCAAUGUGUCUGGACCAAGGUAAUGAAAUCUAAAUGUAUUGGAUGUAUUUUCUCAUUGCUUAAUAUUUGGCAGAGUGCUUGUUUUUCUCCCCAAAGGUGCAACAUCAAUUUCUGAUUUUGUCUCCCUUUCACCCAUUGGCAACUCAAUACGGACACAUAAGGGAUGAUGGACAAAUUGUUGAUUUCAAAGUGGAUCUCAGUGUCAUAUUUCUGACUGAUACACUUGCAAAAAUAAUAGCUGACCUGGAACCUACUGUUGGCAAAAUAGCUGUUGAAACAUCAGGACUCGUGAGCAUUCAGUAUCCAAUGGACACAGUGAAAUUCUCCUCAACACCGACGCUAAACUGCAGAUUUGAAGAGAAAACAAACGGCUCUUGGAACUGGAACCUGUUAAAAGGAAAUAAGACAUUUGAUCUGAACACUGGAAGCAGCAUAACAGUCUCAUUACCCAAUGAAACGCCACACAAUUGUACCACAGUCCAAAUUAUAAAGUUGUCAGGGAACUGGGCAGGGAUUUAUAAGUGUGGAUUUUCCAAAGGGUCCAUUGUGCACGCAGCCACUGCAGAGUUGAAGGUAGCCCUGCUACCAGAUAAGAUCACCAUGACGAUUGACCCACUGACUGUAGAAUGCCAAGAUGCAGUGCCUCCUGUGACAGUCACCGCAACCAUCGAUAACAGCACAGAGCAAUACACGGUCACUUGGUCAUACCAAAAUAAUCUCCAAACUCCAAAUCUCCAAACUAAACCAGGUACCAGGAACUCUUAGUCUUGUGUCUUGAACUAUGUAUCACCUUGUUUAUUUUUGUGCUCAAAAUGAUUAAAGUUGCAGUAACUUGAUAAUAAAUAAGCAGUUGCUUAUCAACAGAUAGUUUGUUGAUAGUACGACCAUCUGUAGAGCAUCUCCAGAUGGAAAAUCUUCACUAUCCAAAUAAAGUGUGACCACAUUCUAUUCUAGUACCACCAGCGGGGAUAGCCUACACCACAGUGAUAUCUAUAAAUUGCAGUCCAUCAAGCUCACCCCAUGUUGUCAUCGUCAGCUUUACAAAUCAGAUGGAUGAGAUCAAGAAAGCAAGCAUAACUAUCCCAGUGAUAUAUGGUAUGUUCAGAUUGUAUGAGUCCAUACAAAAAAGGGGAAAAAGGAAAAGCCAUUCCAGUUAAUUACUAUCCCUCAAAUGUGUGAAAUGAUGUGAUUGGUUAAAGUCCCCUUACAUCCAGAAGGGAUGAAGAAGAUGAGGCUUAAUUCCUAUUAAUACUCUUUACUGCUGUUUAUAUUCAGCUCAUGACAGGAACCAGGCUUGUCCUGAAGACAGUAACGUUUGGCCAAAAACCCCAAAAGGUGUAACUGUCACCAUCCGAAAAUGUGAGGUGAAUAGAGUUGGGUACAAAGAGCGGACAUGCAAGGGGCCUGAGUGGAUGGAGGUGCUGGAUAACUGUGUCAAUGAGGAGCUCAACAAAGUUGUCAAUGCAGCAGCAGUGAGUAUGACCUUUCACCUUCUGCACUCACACAACUCUUAUACUGCGAAGUUGAUAUGGAACGUUGGUAAUGUUUCGGUGAAUGCCUACAUUUUCUGUAAAAGUGCAUUCCUGACAUUUAGUAAUAUGACAACACUACUCACGGGUUGGUCAUAUGAUAUAUCACAUUCUUCAACUACACAUCCAGCCAAUGGAAUGCUGUGUGACUUGUGUUGAAAUACUCUGGGCCUGUAGAAUGUGUUGGUAUAGGAAACCAAGUUACUAUUCUA
RNAcentral lists this long non-coding RNA (2075 nucleotides) under Oncorhynchus kisutch (coho salmon). Its description in RNAcentral is "lncRNA (ENSOKIG00005028681.1)". The record is from RNAcentral. Lineage: Eukaryota; Metazoa; Chordata; Actinopteri; Salmoniformes; Salmonidae.